AUCUUAGUACAGGGGUGGUACACGUAGAAGUGAAGGUUUUUCCUGAUCUCGUGUUUUUGCCAAUUGAAAACUACCUAAAUGACCCUCUCUCAUGGUUUUCCUUGAGAGGAAUUUUUAAUAUUUAAAAUAAU
RNAcentral lists this small nuclear RNA (131 nucleotides) under Orbilia oligospora ATCC 24927. RNAcentral describes it as "Arthrobotrys oligospora ATCC 24927 U4 spliceosomal RNA". It matches the Rfam family "U4 spliceosomal RNA". From Rfam's summary of the family: U4 small nuclear RNA (U4 snRNA) is a component of the major U2-dependent spliceosome. The structure of U4 snRNA from yeast and human has been reported. The record is from Rfam by way of RNAcentral. Lineage: Eukaryota; Fungi; Ascomycota; Orbiliomycetes; Orbiliales; Orbiliaceae.